CCGGAAGGAAGCAUCGGGAGCGGCCUUCUGCCAGUGUCGCGUUCAGGCGC
Molecule: non-coding RNA, 50 nt
Filed under: Cafeteria roenbergensis
Lineage: Eukaryota; Bigyra; Bicosoecida; Cafeteriaceae
Source: RNAcentral